GAGUUUGAUCCUGGCUCAGGACGAACGCUGGCGGCGUGCUUAACACAUGCAAGUCGAGCGGUAAGGCCCUUUCGGGGGUACACGAGCGGCGAACGGGUGAGUAACACGUGGGUAACCUGCCCUCAGCUCUGGGAUAAGCCCGGGAAACUGGGUCUAAUACCGGAUAUGACUCCGCAUCGCAUGGUGUGGGGUGGAAAGCCUUGUGCGGCUGAGGAUGGGCCCGCGGCCUAUCAGCUUGUUGGUGGGGUAGUGGCCUACCAAGGCGACGACGGGUAGUCCGGCCUGAGAGGG
Molecule: ribosomal RNA, 291 nt
Filed under: uncultured bacterium
Lineage: Bacteria
Description: partial 16S ribosomal RNA
Rfam family: Bacterial small subunit ribosomal RNA
Source: RNAcentral